AUUCUUUCUCCUCCUGGUCUCCUAGGAACCUAAAAGGCCAACAUUGCUCCCAGCCUUUAACUCAAAGCACUGAGAGCCCCCGUUGACAUUCUCAAGUGUCUGGGGAGAAGGCUUAAAUCAGAAGCGUAAUGUUGAUCUGAGCUAAAGGCAGCUGGCAUGUUUUUCCUGAGGAAUGUCUGAAGCAGUGGGCUCUCUCUGGAGUCAUCAACCUAAAAAAGUCUGGAUGGAGAAAAGACAGGCUGGAUAUCAAGAGGUAGGGGGAAUGUGCUCUGGGGUCAAAAUGUUUGUUGGAGCAACGUAAUCUUCCCAUGAGAGGAAACCUGGGACCCGUUCGGGACGGCCUUCUUCGGAGUUCUCCUAAAACCCUCAGGCUUCCGUUCAAUUAAACUUGGUUAUAAACACAUCAUAAGUUCACAGCACCCAGAGCGCACCCCUUGAAGGCCUCUGAGCUGAUGAGUGAGAGCACGUUAGCAGGGGGAGCAGCACAGGGAGAGGGAGACCAUGACCUGUGCCGAAGGCAAGAUGCUUAACCAACUGAGUCAUCAAGGUCUUUCUGCUCCUCCAAUUCUUAAUGAGUAUGUUAUCUAGAGCACCAGUCCAAUAGAGGUCAUCACAAAACAAGAACAAGAUAGGCUUACUUCUUCUCUACACUGUUGGUCUCCGAGUAUGGCUAGACAAUUUUGAGGCUUCCUGCUGGGAGAGGUCAUGUGGCCCAGCCCACACACUGGCCAUGAACUUCUUGUUCCUGAAAAAUGAGUCCACGGCAGUGGGAACAGUCAUUGUCUGAGCAGACAUGUUCCCAUCUACUAUCUCAUCAUGAGUAAAGCUCUGAGCCUAAAGAUGAGGCAUAGCCAGGGGCUGCCACUUUGUGAACAAUGUACAACCUGCAUAAGCAAAGGUUGAAAUGAGCCUAAUAAAUUGGACACAUCUCUA
Molecule: long non-coding RNA, 933 nt
Organism: Canis lupus familiaris (dog)
Lineage: Eukaryota; Metazoa; Chordata; Mammalia; Carnivora; Canidae
Exons: 4
Source: RefSeq, a predicted model, not a curated record